CAAGCAGGGUUCCUUAAGGGUAGCAGGACACAUGAAAGGUGCCACUGGGAUUCUUUCCCUGCUUGUGGCCCCGCCCCCAGGUAGAGCAUCACCUGCAAGUGGAGGAGGUGCGAAUUCGACCCGCCGUUGGGUGGGGCAGACGACCCCUGCCCGUGACGGAGGGGCUGGUGGAAGUCAGGCUUCCUGAUGGCUGGUCGCAAGUGUGCGACAAAGGCUGGAGCGCCCACAACAGCCACGUGGUCUGCGGGAUGCUGGGCUUUCCCAGCGAAAAGAGGGUCAACGCGGCCUUCUACAGGCCUGUGUCCGUCUAAAGGGUGGCGCCCACCCUGGAGAGGGCCGGGUAGAAGUCCUGAAGGCCAGCACAUGGGGCACAGUCUGUGACCGCAAGUGGGACCUGCAUGCAGCCAGCGUGGUGUGUCGGGAGCUGGGCUUCGGGAGUGCUCGAGAAGCUCUGAGUGGCGCUCGCAUGGGGCAGGGCAUGGGUGCUAUCCACCUGAGUGAAGUUCGCUGCUCUGGACAGGAGCUCUCCCUCUGGAAGUGCCCCCACAAGAACAUCACAGCUGAGGAUUGUUCGCAUAGCCAGGAUGCCGGGGUCCGGUGCAACCUACCUUACACUGGGGCAGAGACCAGGAUCCGACUCAGUGGGGGCCGCAGCCAACAUGAGGGGCGAGUCGAGGUGCAAAUAGGGGGACCUGGGCCCCUUCGCUGGGGCCUCAUCUGUGGGGAUGACUGGGGGACCCUGGAGGCCAUGGUGGCCUGUAGGCAACUGGGUCUGGGCUACGCCAACCACGGCCUGCAGGAGACCUGGUACUGGGACUCUGGGAAUAUAACAGAGGUGGUGAUGAGUGGAGUGCGCUGCACAGGGACUGAGCUGUCCCUGGAUCAGUGUGCCCAUCAUGGCACCCACAUCACCUGCAAGAGGACAGAGACCCGCUUCACUGCUGGAGUCAUCUGUUCUGAGACUGCAUCAGAUCUGCUGCUGCACUCAGCACUGGUGCAGGAGACCGCCUACAUCGAAGACCGGCCCCUGCAUAUGUUGUACUGUGCUGCGGAAGAGAACUGCCUGGCCAGCUCAGCCCGCUCAGCCAACUGGCCCUAUGGUCACCGGCGUCUACUCCGAUUCUCCUCCCAGAUCCACAACCUGGGACGAGCUGACUUCAGGCCCAAGGCUGGGCGCCACUCCUGGGUGUGGCACGAGUGCCAUGGGCAUUACCACAGCAUGGACAUCUUCACUCACUAUGAUAUCCUCACCCCAAAUGGCACCAAGGUGGCUGAGGGCCAUAAAGCUAGUUUCUGUCUCGAAGACACUGAGUGUCAGGAGGGUGAGUUGGGGCCUGGACCACAUGGUAUCCAUUGCACAGCCUUUCCUUACACUGACAUAUGCCAAUCCCUCCAGAUGUCUCCAAGAGGUAUGAGUGUGCCAACUUUGGAGAGCAAGGCAUCACUGUGGGUUGCUGGGAUCUCUACCGGCAUGACAUUGACUGUCAGUGGAUUGACAUCACGGAUGUGAAGCCAGGAAACUACAUUCUCCAGGUUGUCAUCAACCCCAACUUUGAAGUAGCAGAGAGUGACUUUACCAACAAUGCAAUGAAAUGUAACUGCAAAUAUGAUGGACAUCGAAUCUGGGUGCACAACUGCCACAUUGGUGAUGCCUUCAGUGAAGAGGCCAACAGGAGGUUUGAACGCUACCCUGGCCAGACCAGCAACCAGAUUAUCUAAGUGCCACCGCCCUCUGCAAACCACCACUGGCCCCUAAUGGCAGGGGUCUGAGGCUGCCAUUACCUCAGGAGCUUACCAAGAAAUCCAUGUCAGCAACUGCACUCAUCAGACCAUGCACUAUGGAUGUGGAACUGUCAAGCAGAAGUUCUCACCCUCCUUCAGAGGCCAGCUGUCAGUAUCUGUAGCCAAGCAUGGGAAUCUUUGCUCCCAGGCCCAGCACCGAGCAGAAGAGAGCAGAGCCCACCACACCACAAAGAGCAGCACCUGACUAACUGCCCCCAAAAGAUGGCAGCAGCUCAUUUUCUUUAAUAGGAGGUCAGGAUGGUCAGCUCCAGUAUCUCCCCUAAGUUUAGGGGGAUACAGCUUUACCUCUAGCCUUUUGGUGGGGGAAAAGAUCCAGCCCUCCCACCUCAUUUUUUACUAUAAUAUGUUGCUAGGUAUAAUUUUAUUUUAUAUAAAAAGUGUUUCUGUGAUUCUUCAGAGCCCAGGAGUCAGUGCUGGUGGUUGGAGGGACCUGCCCCCACUGGUUCAUUUAACCCUCUGUCCCGGCGCCCUCAGAGCCUCAGCCAGGAAGGCAAGGAGGAAAUCAGAGCAGAAGCCUCAUACUCUUGGUGAUCUAUUCAUUCUGUGACCUCAGGGGUCACAUAUAAGGUCAGUGUUUCUCGUCCCCGCCGGAUCUGCACUGCCAGCUGGGAUUGGGUUCGAACAGCUUCAUAAACAUCUUCAGCAUUUUGUACCAUCUGCUCCCCAAUGGCCAAAAUCACAUCACCAGGCCGCAGACCAGCCCUACAGAGAAAAAUGGACAGAGAGAAAGGAAGGAGUACAAAGCCUAGUUCAAGGACACAUGCACACCUUGCCCAUCCCCAUAUCACACUGCAGCCUCUCCCUCACCGGUGUGCAGGGGAGCCCAGGAUGACUUUAUGGAUGAGUACACCAUGCUGAACAUCGGGAAAGCUUGGUUCUCGAAGCUGUAGUUCAGCAAGGAUGCUGAAAGUACACAGAUCACCCUAUUAGCCAAACCCAGGCAUUCUCCCCAUCCUGAGUUCCACCUCAAGUCUCUCAUCAACACAUUGAUAAAUAUACAGACAGGACAUGAGCUAGGUACUACAAAAUACAAUGGCAACUCACUUUCUGUCUUCUAGCAAUAAAGUGCAACAUGUACAUAAAAGAUGUACACCACACGAGGGCACCA
RNAcentral lists this small RNA (2911 nucleotides) under Pongo abelii (Sumatran orangutan). RNAcentral's name for it is "retained intron". Lineage: Eukaryota; Metazoa; Chordata; Mammalia; Primates; Hominidae. The record is from RNAcentral.